CAUCCUCCAAGGCUAAAUACUCCUGACUGACCGAUAGUGAACCAGUACCGUGAGGGAAAGGCGAAAAGAACCCCGGCGAGGGGAGUGAAAAAGAACCUGAAACCGUGUACGUACAAGCAGUGGGAGCCCCACCACUAAGCCAGUGGUGAACUCCACAUCCGCAUCCUUUGCUGAGGAUACGGUUAACGGAGCGAAAGCGACGUUCAACCGCAAAACAAGCAGAGGGGGCUUAGUGGUGGGGUGACUGCGUACCUUUUGUAUAAUGGGUCAGCGACUUAUAUUCUGUAGCAAGGUUAACCGUAUAGGGGAGCCGGAGGGAAACCGAGUCUUAAUUGGGCGUUAAGUUGCAGGGUAUAGACCCGAAACCCGGUGAUCUAGCCAUGGGCAGGUUGAAGGUUGGGUAACACUAACUGGAGGACCGAACCGACUAAUGUUGAAAAAUUAGCGGAUGACCUGUGGCUGGGGGUGAAAGGCCAAUCAAACCGGGAGAUAGCUGGUUCUCCCCGAAAGCUAUUUAGGUAGCGCCUCGUGAAUUCAUCUCCGGGGGUAGAGCACUGUUUCGGCUAGGGGGCCAUCCCGGCUUACCAACCCGAUGCAAACUGCGAAUACCGGAGAAUGUUAUCACGGGAGACACACGGCGGGUGCUAACGUCCGUCGUGAAGAGGGAAACAACCCAGACCGCCAGCUAAGGUCCCAAAGUCAUGGUUAAGUGGGAAACGAUGUGGGAAGGCCCAGACAGCCAGGAUGUUGGCUUAGAAGCAGCCAUCAUUUAAAGAAAGCGUAAUAGCUCACUGGUCGAGUCGGCCUGCGCGGAAGAUGUAACGGGGCUAAACCAUGCACCGAAGCUGCGGCAGCGACGCUGAUGCGUUGUUGGGUAGGGGAGCGUUCUGUAAGCCUGCGAAGGUGACCUGUGAGGGUUGCUGGAGGUAUCAGAAGUGCGAAUGCUGACAUAAGUAACGAUAAAGCGGGUGAAAAGCCCGCUCGCCGGAAGACCAAGGGUUCCUGUCCAACGUUAAUCGGGGCAGGGUGAGUCGACCCCUAAGGC
This 1045-nucleotide ribosomal RNA is filed under the name Salmonella enterica subsp. enterica serovar Typhimurium. RNAcentral describes it as "partial 23S ribosomal RNA". It matches the Rfam family "Bacterial large subunit ribosomal RNA", at positions 454 to 1397 of the family's 2925-position model. Lineage: Bacteria; Pseudomonadati; Pseudomonadota; Gammaproteobacteria; Enterobacterales; Enterobacteriaceae. The record is from RNAcentral.